RNAcentral lists this ribosomal RNA (911 nucleotides) under Pyrenophora poae. RNAcentral's name for it is "partial large subunit ribosomal RNA". It matches the Rfam family "Eukaryotic large subunit ribosomal RNA", at positions 38 to 966 of the family's 3401-position model. The record is from RNAcentral. Lineage: Eukaryota; Fungi; Ascomycota; Dothideomycetes; Pleosporales; Pleosporaceae.
GCAUAUCAAUAAGCGGAGGAAAAGAAACCAACAGGGAUUGCCCUAGUAACGGCGAGUGAAGCGGCAACAGCUCAAAUUUGAAAUCUGGCUCUUUCAGGGUCCGAGUUGUAAUUUGCAGAGGGCGCUUUGGCUUUGGCAGCGGUCCAAGUUCCUUGGAACAGGACGUCACAGAGGGUGAGAAUCCCGUACGUGGUCGCUAGCUAUUGCCGUGUAAAGCCCCUUCGACGAGUCGAGUUGUUUGGGAAUGCAGCUCUAAAUGGGAGGUAAAUUUCUUCUAAAGCUAAAUACUGGCCAGAGACCGAUAGCGCACAAGUAGAGUGAUCGAAAGAUGAAAAGCACUUUGGAAAGAGAGUCAAACAGCACGUGAAAUUGUUGAAAGGGAAGCGCUUGCAGCCAGACUUGCUUGCAGUUGCUCAUCCGGGCUUUUGCCCGGUGCACUCUUCUGCAGGCAGGCCAGCAUCAGUUUGGGCGGUGGGAUAAAGGUCUCUGUCACGUACCUCUCUUCGGGGAGGCCUUAUAGGGGAGACGACAUACCACCAGCCUGGACUGAGGUCCGCGCAUUCGCUAGGAUGCUGGCGUAAUGGCUGUAAGCGGCCCGUCUUGAAACACGGACCAAGGAGUCUAACAUCUAUGCGAGUGUUUGGGUGUCAAGCCCGAACGCGUAAUGAAAGUGAACGGAGGUGGGAACCCGCAAGGGUGCACCAUCGACCGAUCCUGAUGUCUUCGGAAGGAUUUGAGUAAGAGCAUGGCUGUUGGGACCCGAAAGAUGGUGAACUAUGCUUGAAUAGGGUGAAGCCAGAGGAAACUCUGGUGGAGGCUCGCAGCGGUUCUGACGUGCAAAUCGAUCGUCAAAUUUGGGCAUAGGGGCGAAAGACUAAUCGAACUAUCUAGUAGCUGGGUUCCUGCCGAAG